UCUCUAACUAAAAAUAACAAGGUUUAGCCGCUCAUAUUGACCUUGAUACACUAAAAGUUGUUUAUAGUGUUUUUACAGAAAGAAGAAAAAUUUAGAAAAACCUAAGUUUGUUGCAAUCCUCGACAACUCCCCCUCUUUUCCUUUGUUCUUCCUAUUAAAGGCCGAGAGGAUAUGUUUUGCCAAGAUAGGGUUUCACACGAGCAUCUCGGCUUCUUUUCUACUUUUCAAAAUAAUCUUCUC
Molecule: long non-coding RNA, 240 nt
Filed under: Carica papaya (papaya)
Lineage: Eukaryota; Viridiplantae; Streptophyta; Magnoliopsida; Brassicales; Caricaceae
Description: long non-coding RNA (CPAP_LNC006822)
Source: RNAcentral